Molecule: ribosomal RNA, 253 nt
Filed under: uncultured bacterium
Lineage: Bacteria
Also listed under: 1 other name
Description: partial 16S ribosomal RNA
Rfam family: Bacterial small subunit ribosomal RNA
Source: RNAcentral
UACGGAGGGUGCAAGCGUUAUCCGGAUUCACUGGGUUUAAAGGGUGCGUAGGAGGGCAGGUAAGUCAGUGGUGAAAUCUCCAAGCUUAACUUGGAAACUGCCGUUGAUACUAUCUGUCUUGAAUAUUGUGGAGGUGAGCGGAAUAUGUCAUGUAGCGGUGAAAUGCUUAGAUAUGACAUAGAACACCAAUUGCGAAGGCAGCUCGCUACACAUAUAUUGACUCUGAGGCACGAAAGCGUGGGGAUCAAACAGG